CCAAAGGCUUUUUACAUGUCAGUCUUUUUAAAGCCACACAGAUUUGCAGAGAAGCGGCCU
Amazona aestiva (blue-fronted amazon) is the source of this 60-nucleotide non-coding RNA. The record is from Rfam. Lineage: Eukaryota; Metazoa; Chordata; Aves; Psittaciformes; Psittacidae.